UCAGAAAAUAAGGUUGGUUGGUUGGUUGGUUGGUUUUUUCAGAAAAAAAAAAUGGUCCUGGGCAGUCAAAGAAAAUUAGAGGAGCUUCUUCAGUCACCUAGAGAAUAAGACUCAGUUCUAUGACUUGACCCAUCUGAUCAUGGCCUCAGGUCUCUCUGACAUCACAAAGCACACCAGGAUGUUCAUUGUCUGCCUAGGGCUAUUUCAUAAAAGAAGGGGUCUUGAGAGAUGACUCUUUUCCUAUGAUAAGUAUUUCUUAUACCUCGAACACCAAUAGACUUCAGGGAAUUCAGCCUGGCAAAUAAUCCUUGAAAAGUACAAGAUCAAUCUUCUUUCUUCUUUUUUUUAAACGUGUUUUAAAAGUUUUAAGUCUAGGGACUUAGAAUGAAUAAAGGGGGCAGCCCCUGGGAAAUCCAGCAGUUCUUGGAACAUGAAAAUUAAACAUGAAUCCACAAAAAUUCUUCAGAUACCUAGUAUCUGGCAAAGAUUUCUUUUGUUAAGAUCAGUGCUCAGUAAAGUCAGUAUUUUAUGAAGAAUAAAUUAAUCCUGAAAAAGGAAAUCCUUUAGUAACCAAAUGGGGAGAAGACCAAGGAUAUUUCCCAAAGAAUUGGUCCAGUUCCCUCAAAAUAGCCUGUAUCACAAGGCUUCUUCAGUGCUGUUACCAUGUCCCCCACACCGGAUUUCACCAUUCUGGGAAAAAGAAUACAAGUCAAGGGCUGAACUGAUGUCACUCCUCAACAAACCUCAUAGCCCUCAAGCACCACAUUGUUCCUACCAGAGGAAUACCCAAAAGCAGUCUCCACCUUGGCUCAAAAAUCCAGCUUUCCAUUCUAAGAUGCCCCAACUUCAUCCCAGAGCAAUGGCAGUGCCAUUGCCCCAUCUUCAUCAUCUGGCUAAGCCAUCCCCUCAUCACAAACACCCUACAGUGACUCCAGUCUUGCCUCAAUCUCGGAAUGAUAUCCCAACCAGAAAAACAACUACAACUUUAACUCCUAUUGAACAAUGUCUCAUACCUCCUUUGGGCUCCAAAAACCACCUUGAAUCUUCUUUGGAUUCUGAGCAUCAUUUGGAGACUCUUUCAGACUCUGACCACCUUCCCAAGAUUUUCCCAGUCUGUGACCAUUCAGUUAUUGAGGAUCUAACACAUCUCAACCAGAAGGAUCCAACUCCACCUUUCCCUGACCACCAGACUAAGAUUGCAUUACGUGAAAGACCCAGAUCCAGACCUAGUAUAGCCAGUAUAGUCUCUGACACCCAAACAGCAAACAUUAAGCCUUUGUUAAGAACUCCCACACCACCGGCCAGGGUUUUUCCAAAACCUAAGCGCCGGAUCAAGGCUGCCAAUGCACUGUUAGGACUUUUCAACAUAGACCCUGUACUUCAACCAAUUGCAAAAUCAUUACCUUGUCCCAUCUGGACCAGGACUCCAAAUUUCAGAACAUCAGUCAUAGACUACUGGGUCAAUUCCCAAUCUCUGAAGGAAGCACAAACAUCCAGGGACACAUUAUCCCUUUUACAAUGCCUAAAUCAUCAACCUGGACCACUUGCUGCACCUACAACACAUCUGAAUCAGAGAAACCAGUCUACAACUAUAUGUAGAUACAAUCCUCACCUGCUAUGUAGGCCAAGCCCUAUUGCUCAUGUCUCAGUUCAAACUGAUUAUGACAGCUGGGAAAAUAGGCUGCUGAGAAAGUACCUCCUGGAAUCAUGUCCCUGUAGUCCUGUACUGGAAUCUCUAACUACAACAUCAGAGUCUACAGCUAGAACACCAGAACCUACAGCUACAACAUCAGAGCCUACAACUACAAUGCCAGAGUCUACAGAUAGAACACCAGAGCCUACAGCUACAACAUCAGAGCCUACAACUACAAUGCCAGAGUCUACAGCUAGAACACCAGAGUCUACAACUAGAACACCAGAGCCUACAGCUACAACAUCAGUGCCUACAACUACAAUACCAGAGUCUACAGCUAGAAGAUCAGUGCCUACAUCUAAGACAUCAAAGCCUACAGCUACACUCUCAGAGCCUACAGCUACAAUACGAGAGCUCACAGCUACAACAUCAGAGCCUGCCCUUCAUGUUUCCAUUAAAACUGACAAAGACUCAGAAGUUGUAUCCCAAGAAACAGAUGACCAGGACACAUCUGAAUCCAAAUCUGGUCCAGAAACUGACUCAAUACCAGAGCCUGCUGUCCAUAGUUCCAUUCAAACAGAUCAGAUCCCCUGGGAAGCAAUAUUCCCAGAAACAGACUUACAGGAAAUAUUUUCAUCCAGUCCUGAACCAGAGACUGACACAACAAGAGAACCUACCAUGCAUGUCUCUGUCCAAACAGAGCUAACAGACUCCUGGGAAAUAAUAUCCUCAGAGACAGAUGAGGAUGAAAGUCUAGCAGACCAGGAUGACAGAAUAGCUCUACUGGACUUAGACCCCCAGGAUGCUACUCUAUCUAGCCCUCAGCAGUGGGCCACACCUCCACCCACUCCUUAUCCCUGGGCUGAGGAUAUGCCAAACAACAAUGCCCUGGUCAUGUUUCAUCCAGAAUUAAAACAACGGCAAGCAAUUUCCCAGAAAAUAGAUCAGCUGGCUAUAGUUUCACCCAGGCCAGACCUGGUCAUUGAGGCUAUAUCGGAACCCAUUGUCUAUGAGUCAGUUCUAAUAAAACAAGAGGCCUGGAAAACAACACCUCCAAUCCUACCAGGAAUAUCUGAUCACCAGGCAAUAAUAACAGAGGAAAAUCAUGAGAUAACACCUCCUCUGGACUUAAAUGGCCAAGAUACAGUACUUGCUACCCCUGCCAAGGCAACCACACCUCUGCCCAGCCCUGAUCAGCAGCAAAGUGAGAAUAUAUACAAUCAUGAUGCACAGGUUACACUUGAUCAGAAUUUAGAACAAUGGGCAACACAAUCAGAGGAAACUGAUCUCAAGGAAAACUCAGAGACUGAGCAUACUCCAGAUGUCACUGAUCCUAUCUCAGAUAUGAUUGAGGAAGAAACUUUUGAAAUCAUAGAUAUAAUGCCAUUGAGAAUAGAGUUUGAGGAAACAAAUGAAAUAGUCAAGGAUCACUGGGCAAUAUUUCUUCCCCUGGACAGCAAUGAUGAAGAAAAUACUGUAUCUGGACCUGACCACCCCUCGGCCACACUACUCAUAUCAUCCUUCAGCUCUGACCAGAAGCAAGCAUCUGAGACUACCUCAAGUGACCUUGCCCAAGACUUAGCUCAAAUAGAACAAGAGUAUGAAGAAAUGUCACCAUCAAGAAUAGAACGAGAGACCACAAUUCUAGCAGGCCAGGAUGAAGGGGCAACGCCUCCAGUGGACUUAGACCCUCAAAACCCAGCUCCACUUGUCCUUGAACUCCAGAUCACACCUCCACCCAGCCCUGACCAGCAACCUGAAGAUAUACUAGAUUCCAGUGACCAAGUGUCACUUCAGCCAGAAUCUGAACAUUCUAACCCAAUGUCACCAGAAACAGAGCUUCAAAAACCCAUUAUAAAAGAAGAGUAUAAAAGAGUAACACCACCAAUGAGCUUAGAUCACAAGGUGGAAAUUAUUGUAUCUAGCCCUGAUCACUGUCCAACUCCCCCAUCCAGCCCUGAGAAACAGUCAGAACCUAUUCUGCAUCUCAGUAUCCAGGCUACAUCUCCAACUAAUAGAAAGCACUCAGCAAAAUUGUCUGAAGGUCAAGAGAAAAUCACACCUCUUCCUAGCCCUAACCCCUCAGUCCCUCCUCCAGCUGUCUUAGAAAAACAGGCUAAAGCUGGAACAGAUCCCGUCAACCUGGCAAGUACAGCACCAGUGAGCUUGGAUGAUGAUGAAACAAUUCCUCUAAGUCCUGAGAAGACCACAUCACCACCAAGUCCCAAUCACCAGACUGAGCCUCCAACAGGCCAUGACCACCAGCCUGAGACUAAGCUGAGCUAUGACCACCAAGAUGAGGUUGAAUCUGGGUUUCAACAUCAGUCCCAAAUUGUGCAAAAGAGACAACCUGAAUUACGUUUAAAUUAUAUCAAACCAUACACCAUCUUGGGGGGAACUGUCUCUGACAAAACUGUUCAUGCUAUCAUUAAUUCCAUCCCUCAGGAAAGAAUAAAAAAUGACAUCUCUAAGCAGAUUCUCCUACCUAUGAGUCUUGAUAGAUACAGCCCAUGUGAAUACAUGGUUUGUUUAAUUUGCUCCUCCUGGAUCCCAGAUGGCUGUCCACAUGAAGGGAUGAAAUAUCCAUGUGAAGCCCAGUUACUGGCUACACCAAUAUCUAUGUCCAUGUCAGAGGAGUUGAUUAAUGUGACAUUUUCCCUCAAAUGUCCCCAGGCAACAGCCUCUGCCCUUUUUUGCUCCUCAGACAUCCCCCGUAGAAAUUUGAAACAGUCAUCAGAAGACGUAGAAUCAAAUCACUCAGAACCCAUGGUCACUCUUCAAUCAAGGCCAAAAUGGCUUCACUUCAUACUAAGCAAAUCUCUCCCACAAGGGAAGAAAGACAUCUCUAGAAGCCCAGAACCAUCCAUAGACAAGGUCUUUGAAGAAGGAAGAGAAGGGGAGAUGGCCAGGAUACAACGGACGACCUUUAGAUCUCUACUGGAGAGAUUUCAAUGGAGGUUAAAGGGAAACUAAAUGUCUAUCUUUAUCUUUGAAAGAAAUUGAGAAUUCCCCCUGUGUAUUUUUAAAAAUUGUGCCUAAUUUUGAGUCUUAAUUAUUAUUUUAGGUGUUACAAAGAGAUUAUAACCCUGUCUCUUCUUUUCAGUUCAAGAGGGGGACAAUGAUUAUAGGGAGAAUGAAUUCUUCACUUCGUCUUCUUCUCAUCCUAUAGCCUAUGGAGCCCCUUUGGUAAAUAUGGGAGAAUGUGGACAGUAAUCACAAAGAGUGGGCAUGCAUGGAUGGAUUCCAACCUGUGUUUUUGUUGGAAUUAUCCAAAUCAAUGAGAUCACCUGUGUAUUUGAGUUUUGAGCCAAACAGACUGUAUAAAGAAUUAAUGGCUCCCCAAAGACCAAAAAAAAAAUCCAUUCUUUGCUUUCCUCACAUUUACAGAAAUUUAGUAAAUGUUUCUCUAGGUUAAAAUAUGACUAUGAAUAACCUACAAACCUCUUUAUCCUAACUCAACUUCAUCACCUAAAUCCUACCUUCAAAAAAUAUAUACAUUACAAAAUCACAGGAUUUUAGAGUUGGGAAAAAAACCUCAGUAAGUUUCUAAUCCAGUCUUUUCCACAGAAUUCUCCACUAUGAUAUACUCCAAAAUUGACCUUUUUGAAGACUUCCAAGGAAUGAUAACCUAUAACCUCAUAUGAUGACUCAUUCUGCUUUUGUAGAGUUGUAAUAAUUGCUUUUCCUUUACAUUGAAACUUUUGUGGGAACACAGUGGCUAGAGUGCCAGACCUGGAGUUAGAGGCACCUAGGUUCAAAUCUGGCCUGUCUCUUCCUAGCUGGGUGAACAUGGGCAAGUUAAUUGCCUCGCCUUUAUUGCUCUUCUGCCUUAGAAUGGCUAUUGAGUCUAAAACAGAAGGUAAGGGUUUAAAAAAAUUUUUUUUUAAGACUUUGGCUUUGAAGUCCACUCUACGCCUGUUUCUGCCCUCUUAGGAACAAUCAGAACAAGUCAAAUCUCUCUUCAAAUAUUUGAAGAAAGCUUUUAUAAAUUAUUCCUCCUAUACCUGGGCCCUGUCUUCUCUUGUCCAGUCUAAACAUUCUCAAUUCCUUCAAUCUUCACAUGGAACAAACUCAAGUUUCUUCAUCAUCCUGGUUAUCUUCUUUGGGACAUUUUCAAGGUUAUCUAUUUCCUUCCUAAUGUAAGAGAUAAAAUUAUAAGACUGGCUGUAAAUUAAUAAUUUUAUUAAUCAAAAAAGUAGUAGGGGGGAAAGAUGGAAAGGAGAGGAUAUAUAGAUUACUUUCCUUAUUGCUCCAUUUAGCUUGCUAUUCUGUGGCUGCCAUUAAGGCCCCCUAGGCAUGCUUACAGGAAAGUCCAGCCAUCAACAAAUACAGAAGAGAGUGGAAAUCCACUCUUGCCUCAACCAAGCUGUGGCUUUCUAUUUUGCCUGGGCCAUGGGGGAAGGGGGGGAACAGCCCAUAGGACAGUGUAGGGGAGUCACCAGGAGAUGAGGUCACCUGUGUGACCCCAGGAAAAGGGAGGAGAGUAAAUUUCCUUUGCCCACUAAAUUGUGGUACCCAGAACUGAACCCUGUAUAUUGCAAAAUGUAGUUUGACCAGAGUAGAGUCCAACAGGAUAAAUAAAUCAUUUUUCAUGAAACCUAUGUUUCUCUGA
This is a long non-coding RNA of Monodelphis domestica (gray short-tailed opossum), 6245 nucleotides long. Lineage: Eukaryota; Metazoa; Chordata; Mammalia; Didelphimorphia; Didelphidae. The record is from Ensembl.